UAAAUUGCCGUGGUAUCUUGACCAUGCUAAGGUAGCGUAAUCAUUUGGCCUUUAAUUGAGGUCUGGUAUGAAGGGUUGAACGCGAGCCCAACUUUAUUAAUUUAAAAAAUAGAACUUAUUUUAUAGGUGAAGAAACCUAUGUAAAUUCAGAGGACAAGAAGACCCUAUCGAGCUUUAUUGGUUUGUGUAUUGCUACGUAUCACAAUUUAGUUGGGGCAACUAGUGGAGUAACUCCUCGCUGAUCGAGAAUUUUUCAUAAGGGGAAGCUACCGUAGGGAUAACAGCAUAAUUUUUUUAUAGAGUUCUUAUUAAAAAAAAAGAUUGUGACCUCGAUGUUGGAUUAGGGUAUCCUUAAGGUGUAGAUUUUUAAAAGGUUAGUCUGUUCGACUAUUAAAAUCCUAC
Molecule: ribosomal RNA, 402 nt
Filed under: Falcidens acutargatus
Lineage: Eukaryota; Metazoa; Mollusca; Caudofoveata; Chaetodermatida; Chaetodermatidae
Description: partial 16S ribosomal RNA
Rfam family: Bacterial large subunit ribosomal RNA
Source: RNAcentral